RNAcentral lists this ribosomal RNA (408 nucleotides) under Triticum aestivum (bread wheat). RNAcentral describes it as "partial small subunit ribosomal RNA". Lineage: Eukaryota; Viridiplantae; Streptophyta; Magnoliopsida; Poales; Poaceae. The record is from RNAcentral.
AUGGCCCCCAAGGCAGCCGAGAAGAAGCCGGUGGAGAAGACCCCCGCGGGCAAGAAGCCCAAGGCGGAGAAGAAGGUGCCGGCGUCCAAGGAGGGCGGCGACAAGAAGGGGAAGAAGAAGGCCAAGAAGAGCGUGGAGACCUACAAGAUCUACAUCUUCAAGGUGCUCAAGCAGGUGCACCCGGACAUCGGCAUCUCCUCCAAGGCCAUGUCCAUCAUGAACUCCUUCAUCAACGACAUCUUCGAGAAGCUCGCCGGCGAGUCCGCCAAGCUCGCGCGGUACAACAAGAAGCCCACCAUCACGUCCCGGGAGAUUCAGACCUCCGUCCGCCUCGUCCUCCCCGGCGAGCUCGCCAAGCACGCCGUCUCCGAGGGCACCAAGGCCGUCACCAAGUUCACCUCGGCCUAG